Long non-coding RNA from Pan paniscus (pygmy chimpanzee), 550 nucleotides. The record is from Ensembl. Lineage: Eukaryota; Metazoa; Chordata; Mammalia; Primates; Hominidae.
CUUCACAUUCCCUCCUGGCCAGUACAUUGCUAAGACUUAAAGCUUUCAUUUGUUAACUGAAUAAUAAAAGUUUGUUUUUCUUUAAAGCAUUGCUAGCCAUGAGGCUUCCAGGUAUUCUUGCUGGGAUGAAUCCUUUUAUUUUAGAUAUUUUCUUCCCUAAGCUUGUUCUUUUCUUUCUUUUUAGAUGAGGCCAUCUUUUAUUCACAUAGUAAGAGCGGGAUUGGAAUAGAGAGAUGGGGAAUGAGACAGAGAGGAGGCCUGCCACCUCCAUUUGAGCAUCAUUGCUUGGGGAAAGGUGAGGCAAUGGACUCCAUCCCAGUCUGUUUUCUGCAGGAGCAGGUUCAAGGGACCCGAUUCAUUUUACUUGAGACUGAGUCUACAUGGCAGAAAUACCACUGGGACAGUUUUAGGUGUGGGAAUUUGUAAGGAGAAAGAAGCUCAAUUGACCAUAAAAUGUUCUGACCCAGAACUAAGCCAGGAACAUUUGGAAUCAGUGUUUUGAACCUGGUGUGCACAGAGAAUAAUUUUGCCCAGGCUUUCUGAUGUAGAC